This 216-nucleotide long non-coding RNA is filed under the name Carica papaya (papaya). RNAcentral's name for it is "long non-coding RNA (CPAP_LNC003783)". Lineage: Eukaryota; Viridiplantae; Streptophyta; Magnoliopsida; Brassicales; Caricaceae. The record is from RNAcentral.
UCUGGGCAAGAUAGGUGUUUUUGCCAUAAUAGCUAAGGCGAAGAGACUGCAUAGCGUCCAUCAAUUUUUAACUAGAGGCCAUGGUUUGAACUAACAUAGCUGAUUUCUUUUGGCUCAGUGCAUCAGUGACCACAUUUCUUCUCUAGGGGUGAUGAUGAUCUUGCAGUCAUGGUCCUUUAGAAGAUCCAUCUAGCAUCUCUGUCUCAUGUUUAACUC